RNAcentral lists this unclassified non-coding RNA (268 nucleotides) under Hevea brasiliensis (rubber tree). Lineage: Eukaryota; Viridiplantae; Streptophyta; Magnoliopsida; Malpighiales; Euphorbiaceae. The record is from RNAcentral.
CUUGGAUUUGGACAUCUAAUUCUGUUUCAAAACCAUGAAAUUUUGUUUCUUCUUGAGCUAACUUCUCAAAAUUUUCCAUUUUCUUUUCCCAUCUUUCGAUAAUUUUGAGUGUACAUGAAUAAUCUUUUAUAGUUCCAUGGUCUACUAUUGGUACUUUAUAGAAACUAAAGAAAUUAAAGGAAGAAAUAGAAGGGAAUGAGUUGCAAGGAAGAUAAAUAUGAACCCUAAAUUCAGAGUUACAGUUGAAGAAAAGAAGAGAAAUAGAAAA